Long non-coding RNA from Cephus cinctus (wheat stem sawfly), 652 nucleotides. RefSeq lists it as uncharacterized. The record is from RefSeq and is a predicted model, not a curated record. The transcript has 3 exons. Lineage: Eukaryota; Metazoa; Arthropoda; Insecta; Hymenoptera; Cephidae.
CCCUUGACCAACGACCUUGAGCCGUGCAAUUUGCGUAUUCAAACGAGAGCAGAGGAACGGCUGGAGCGCCUCAUUGGCAAGCCUUUGGCCUCGGCUGUAAAUCAUGGAUGCUAAGGAAUAGCUAUUAGCACCAAAUAAGGUCCCGAAUUCAACACCUUUCACCAUUCACGAGUUUAUCCACGGCAAAUCAAGAGCCAAACUGACAAAUAUGAAAGAUCAAGAGGAGCAAUGGCGUCUCUCGCAGAGCAUCUCGUGUGAACGCGACAGCCUGGUAGAUGAAAGAAAUCAAUGUCCCAAGUUGACCGUCUCCGCCUAGCGGAAAAUCAUAUAUCCUCGAGAGCGGAAAAUUAGUUAUCGGAAUUGGCACGACCGUCGGAACAUUCGGUGGACAUCCUGGGGCCGUCCGCCAUACUGGAAAACUUGAACGCGCGCAGAUCGAAAUACCGAGUAUAUUAACGGAGUUUAGUAAGAGACGAAUAGACAUGAAUUUGGCUGCGAUCCAGACAUCACACGUUGACGCAAAAUUCGCUGAGGUAAUUGCGCGACUGAUGUCGCACCGAAGCGCAACGUAAAGUGCAGUAGGUUGAUUCGAUGAAAUAAAUUGCAAAGCGCAUACACUUCGCACACGCAUUCCACCUGUGCAAUUCGAGAC